AUGGAGCAUUUAUAGCUUUGAGAAUGUUUGUAUACGCGCAGGAAUGACAAGUAUGGUUAAGUGAAAUAAGGAAAAAGAAGUGAAUUAAAUUCAUUUUAAUUGUAAUAAAUUUGAGAGAUAAAGCGGUUUUGUAAAUACUUGUAGAAAUAAUUAAAAUGGCAGCAAUAAAGACAAAUCCAUCAAGUUCACCUUCUGUUGAAUUAAGUUCAUAUCGUGAUCAACAUUUUAAGGGUUCAAGGGCUGAACAGGACAGGCUAUUGAGAAAUUCUACAACUUUAUAUGUUGGAAAUCUCUCUUUUUACACUACAGAAGAACAAAUAUAUGAACUAUUUUCCAAAUGUGGUGAUAUUAGGAGAAUUAUAAUGGGCCUAGAUAAAUAUAAAAAGACUCCUUGUGGUUUUUGUUUUGUGGAAUAUUAUCAAAGAGGCGAUGCUGAAAAUUGUAUGCGAUAUAUUAAUGGAACGCGUUUGGAUGACAGGAUUAUUAGAACAGAUUGGGACGCUGGUUUUAUUGAAGGCAGACAGUAUGGAAGAGGAAAAACUGGAGGACAAGUAAGGGACGAGUAUAGAUCAGACUUUGAUAGUGGACGGGGUGGUUAUGGUAAGAUAAUACAACAGAAAGUUACGCCUCUUUCGGAUGGAGCAUUUGGACGUUGAGAUUUUGCAGAUGUGACUAAUUUUCUAUAUACAGUUUUCAAAAAGAAACCAUGUUAAACAGAAAGUUUAACACAUAAAGUAGGAUGAACAAAAUAAAUUUCCUUUUAUUAAUUUGCUCUAUAUACUACUUAUAGUACUGCCCUAAUGGCUUCCACGAACACUUCUUCCAAAUUUUCACGUUUCAAAGCUGAACAUUCAACAUAUUUGUAAGCUUUUAUUUUCUUUUUCAUUUUUUUGCAUUCUUUAAGGGUAAUUGUAUCCACAUUUUCUACAU
This is an RNA transcript of Osmia lignaria (orchard mason bee), 930 nucleotides long. It is a transcript of the gene named cap binding protein 20, with no coding region annotated. Lineage: Eukaryota; Metazoa; Arthropoda; Insecta; Hymenoptera; Megachilidae. The record is from RefSeq and is a predicted model, not a curated record.